This 288-nucleotide unclassified non-coding RNA is filed under the name fungal sp. RNAcentral's name for it is "partial internal transcribed spacer region". The stretch from base 1 to 46 matches the Rfam family "Eukaryotic small subunit ribosomal RNA", at positions 1786 to 1831 of the family's 1831-position model. The record is from RNAcentral. Lineage: Eukaryota; Fungi.
AAGUCGUAACAAGGUUUCCGUAGGUGAACCUGCGGAAGGAUCAUUAACACGUAUCCACGUUUAUAACCCGAGAACUUCUUAGGUAGCUUAUUCGAGAAUCCCUAUUCUUAGCUUAGCGGCUAAGUUAGGGGCUAUUGAAUCUGCUCCUUCGAUUCCUUCAGGGACAAAUCUUCGGAGGCGUCCCCGAGGGCUACUUGAAACCCCUUUUUUUCUAAUAAAGGCCGUCUCUUUGUAGACCGCUUUUAACCGAAUGCUGUACAACUCUUAGCAACGGAUAUCUUGGUUCUG